CCGGGACCAUCCGGUAAGGCUAAAUACUCCCGAGAGACCGAUAGCGAACCAGUACCGUGAGGGAAAGGUGAAAAGCACUUCGAACAGAAGAGUGAAAUAGUUCCUGAAACCGUGCGCCUACAAGCGGUCGGAGCUCGUUAAUGAGUGACGGCGUGCCUUUUGCAUAAUGAACCUACGAGUUGCCUUUGCCGGCAAGGUUAAGUGUGACGACACACGUAUCCGAAGCGAAAGCGAGUCUGAACAGGGCGUAUAGUCGGCAGUGGCAGACGCGAAACCAAGUGAUCUACCCUUGGCCAGGUUGAAGGCUGGGUAACACCAGCUGGAGGACCGCACCAAUAAGCGUUGAAAAGCUUCUGGAUGAGCUGAGGGUAGGGGUGAAAGGCUAAUCAAACUUGGAGAUAGCUCGUACUCCCCGAAAUGCAUUUAGGUGCAGCCUUGCGGGUUACUGAUGUGAGGUAGAGCGACUGAUAAGAUGCGAGGGCUUCACCGCCUAUCAAGUCUUGACAAACUCCGAAUGCGCAUCAGUUCUACCGCAGGAGUGAGGGCAUGGGUGCUAAGGUCCGUGCCCGAGAGGAGAAGAAUCCGGACCACCUGCUAAGGUCCCGAAAUGACAGCUAAGUUAAACUAACGAAGUCUGACUGCUAAGACAGCUAGGAUGUUGGCUUGGAAGCAGCCAUUCAUUUAAAGAGUGCGUAACAGCUCACUAGUCGAGGAGUCGGGCGUGGAUAAUAAUCGGGUAUCAAGUUGUCUACCGAAGCAGUGGGAUCAUUAAUAUGAUCGGUAGGGGAGCAUUCCAGUCAGCGUCGAAGGCGUACCGUGAGGUAUUCUGGAGCGUCUGGAAAAGCAAAUGUAGGUAUAAGUAACGAUAAAGGGGGCGGGAAACCCCCUCGCCGAAAGACUAAGGUUUCCUGAUCAACGCUAAUCGGAUCAGGGUCAGUCGGGUCCUAAGGCUCAGCCGAACGGCGAUGCCGAUGGCAGAAACGGUUAAUAUUCCGUUACUACCUUCAGGAGUGACGUGGAGACGCAGUAGUGACAGUGCCGCCAUCUGACGGAAUAGAUGGUUGAAGGGUGUAGGAGUCGAUCAUGGCAGGCAAAUCCACCAUGAGAUCCGAACCUGACAGUAUGCCGCGUCCUUCGGGACAAGGCAAUAGUGCGCGUAAGCAUGCUGCCGAGAAAAUCCGCUAAACUUAAUCCUGCAGGUACCCGUACCGCAAACGGACACACGUAGUCGGGAUGAAUAUUCUAAGGCGCUUGAGUGAUUCACGGUUAAGGAACUAGGCAAACUGACCCUGUAACUUCGGGAUAAAGGGUCCCUACCCUUUUAUGGGAGGGCGCAGAGAAUCGGUCCAGGCAACUGUUUAACAAAAACACAGGGCUGUGCCAAAUCGAAAGAUCCAGUAUACAGCCUGACACCUGCCCGGUGCUGGAAGGUUAAGAGGAGAUGUCAUCGAUAAGAGAAGCGUUGAAUUGAAGCCCCAGUAAACGGCGGCCGUAACUAUAACGGUCCUAAGGUAGCGAAAUUCCUUGUCGGGUAAGUUCCGACCUGCACGAAUGGUGUAAUGAUCCGGACGCUGUCUCAACCAUGAGCUCAGUGAAAUUGUAGUAUCGGUGAAGAUGCCGAUUACCCGCGAUGGGACGAAAAGACCCCGUGAACCUUUACUAUAGCUUAUCAUUGAAUCUGGGCACGUGAUGUGUAGGAUAGGUCGGAGGCUUUGAAGCAGGUACGCCAGUAUUUGUGGAGCCGCUGUUGAAAUACGACCCUUUAUUUGUUUGGAUUCUAACCCGUGGAACGGGGACAUUGAUUGGUGGGUAGUUUGACUGGGGUGGUCGCCUCCAAAAGCGUAACGGAGGCUUCUAAAGGUGCCCUCAGACCGAUUGGUAACCGGUCGCAGAGUGUAAUGGCAUAAGGGCGCUUGACUGGGAGACAUACAAGUCGAUCAGGUAGGAAACUAGAGCAUAGUGAUCCGGUGGUUCCGCAUGGAAGGGCCAUCGCUCAAAGGAUAAAAGGUACUCCGGGGAUAACAGGCUGAUCCCUCCCAAGAGCUCAUAUCGACGGAGUGGUUUGGCACCUCGAUGUCGGCUCGUCACAUCCUGGGGCUGGAGAAGGUCCCAAGGGUUGGGCUGUUCGCCCAUUAAAGUGGCACGCGAGCUGGGUUCAGAACGUCGUGAGACAGUUCGGUCUCUAUCUGUUGUGGGCGCAGGAAAUUUGCGGAGAUCCGACACUAGUACGAGAGGACCGUGUUGGACAGACCCCUGGUGCAUCGGUUGUUCCGCCAGGAGCACAGCCGAGUAGCUAAGUCUGGAAGGGAUAAGCGCUGAAAGCAUCUAAGUGCGAAGCCCACUCCAAGAUAAGAUUUCCGUAUAGGGACGUCAAAGACGAUGACGUGGAUAGGCCGCAGGUGUACAGGCAGCAAUGUCACAGCCGAGCGGUACUAAUAGCCCGAAACUUUCGGAA
RNAcentral lists this ribosomal RNA (2455 nucleotides) under human gut metagenome. RNAcentral's name for it is "bacterial LSU rRNA". It matches the Rfam family "Bacterial large subunit ribosomal RNA", at positions 447 to 2925 of the family's 2925-position model. The record is from RNAcentral.